GCGUGGAACAAACAAGUGUGAAAUACGGAGGCAAAAAAGGAGGCAAAUUAGUCUGGUUGGUUGUUGGCAUAGGAAGCAUCAGAAGUUGCCAUUCCGCUCAGAGCUGUCAUCCUAACCUUGAGAGUGAAAAGAAGCGCAAGCAGUGGAUCGGUCGCCGCUUCAUUCACCUCCACUUCGUCUCACUGUCCUAGCUUUUCAUUGGCCCAACUGCACACAGGAGCAUCACCUGAGGGCAUGCACAGUGUAAGGAUGUGGCAAGGAGCCCUACGCCGUCAUAUAGGAUUCACACCUCCAUCUCGGCAUGGCGCGUACCU
Molecule: long non-coding RNA, 314 nt
Filed under: Oryza brachyantha (malo sina)
Lineage: Eukaryota; Viridiplantae; Streptophyta; Magnoliopsida; Poales; Poaceae
Description: long non-coding RNA (OBRA_LNC003233)
Source: RNAcentral